RNAcentral lists this long non-coding RNA (507 nucleotides) under Columba livia (rock pigeon). RNAcentral describes it as "partial uncharacterized LOC106145799". Lineage: Eukaryota; Metazoa; Chordata; Aves; Columbiformes; Columbidae. The record is from RNAcentral.
AAUUAGCACUACUUUCGCUUCUGCCAAUUAUUUGCUAUGCUGAUACGAUGCCAUAAUGCUGGGAGCAAGUUUUAAAGGCGGGCUGAUGAUGGAGCCUUACGGUAAAGUCAGCCUUUAAAAUGUGUUUGUGCUCGCUACAUUUUCCAUGUGCACUGUAAGUGUAUUUGUAGCUGCUAUUUAUGUGUAACCGUCAUACGCUUUUAUUCUUUAGAGAGGAAUCCAGAAGCUGAAACUGCCUUCUAGCUACAGUUAAGGGCUGUUCUGCUCGUUGAGUUUCACGCACAGGAGAUUCUGGGAUUAACAAGGGAGUCUGAGUAGAUGCAUGCGAGGAGGAGAAUGUCUGUUCAAAAGCUGCUUAAGAGACUUUGAGAAGUGACAAACUGGAGAGAGAGACAGGAAAGCCAUUUUAGGUGCGAGUCUGUUCCGCUCUCCGUAACCCUUCGGGGUUUCCUCAGCGAGGCGAUAACUUACAUCACCAAAUUUCUGUCUUGUUGUGAAGGAGUCUAC